GUCUAAGGCCAUGCUACCCUGAACAAGCCAGAUCCUGUCUGAUCUCAGAAGCUAAGGGUGGGGCCUGGUUAGUACUUGGAUGGGAGACCACCUAGGAAGACCAGGUACUGUAGGUG
RNAcentral lists this ribosomal RNA (116 nucleotides) under Pteropus alecto (black flying fox). RNAcentral also lists the same sequence under 1 other name. Lineage: Eukaryota; Metazoa; Chordata; Mammalia; Chiroptera; Pteropodidae. The record is from RNAcentral.